GAUGAAGAACGUAGCGAAAUGCGAUAAGUAAUGUGAAUUGCAGAAUUCCGUGAAUCAUCGAAUCUUUGAACGCACAUUGCGCCCCCUGGUAUUCCGGGGGGCAUGCCUGUCCGAGCGUCAUUGCAACCUUCAAGCGCGGCUUGUGUGUUGGGUCUCGUCCCCCGUGGACGGGCCCGAAAGGCAGUGGCGGCGUCCCGACAUGGUGCCCGAGCGUAUGGGAAUCCUCUUCCGCUCGAAUCGGCCCAUGCUGCGCUGGUCGUAACCAAAUUUUUUACCGGUUGACCUCGGAUCAGGUAGGGAUACCCGCUGAACUUAAGCAUAUCAAUAAGCGGAGGA
RNAcentral lists this unclassified non-coding RNA (336 nucleotides) under soil metagenome. Its description in RNAcentral is "partial contains 5.8S ribosomal RNA, internal transcribed spacer 2, and large subunit ribosomal RNA". The stretch from base 1 to 120 matches the Rfam family "5.8S ribosomal RNA", at positions 35 to 154 of the family's 154-position model. The record is from RNAcentral.